GAGGGUGUAGCUCAGCGGUCGAGCACAUGCUUAGCAUGCACAAGGUCCUGGGUUCCAUCCCCAGUGCCUCCC
Camelus ferus (Wild Bactrian camel) is the source of this 72-nucleotide transfer RNA. It matches the Rfam family "tRNA". Rfam says of the family: Transfer RNA (tRNA) molecules are approximately 80 nucleotides in length. Their secondary structure includes four short double-helical elements and three loops (D, anti-codon, and T loops). Lineage: Eukaryota; Metazoa; Chordata; Mammalia; Artiodactyla; Camelidae. The record is from Rfam.